GAGGAGCCCGCGGCCUAUCAGCUUGUUGGUGAGGUAACGGCUCACCAAGGCGUUGACGGGUAGCUGGUCUGAGAGGACGACCAGCCACACUGGGACUGAGACACGGCCCAGACACCUACGGGUGGCAGCAGUCGAGAAUUUUUGACAAUGGGGGAAACCCUGAUCGAGCGACGCCGCGUGGAGGAUGAAGGUCUUCGGGUUGUAAACUCCUGUCAUUUGAGAACAAGGCGCAUGUAUUAACUGUACAUGCGUUGAUAGUAUCAGAAGAGGAAGGGACGGCUAACUCUGUGCCAGCAGCCGCGGUAAUACAGAGGUCUCAAGCGUUGUUCGGAUUCAUUGGGCGUAAAGGGUGUGUAGGUGGCGCGCUAAGUCGGGUGUGAAAUUUCGGAGCUUAACUCCGAAACUGCAUUCGAUACUGGCGUGCUUGAGGACUGGAGAGGAGACUGGAAUUUACGGUGUAGCAGUGAAAUGCGUAGAUAUCGUAAGG
RNAcentral lists this ribosomal RNA (487 nucleotides) under uncultured Verrucomicrobiota bacterium. RNAcentral's name for it is "bacterial SSU rRNA". It matches the Rfam family "Bacterial small subunit ribosomal RNA", at positions 224 to 704 of the family's 1533-position model. Lineage: Bacteria; Pseudomonadati; Verrucomicrobiota. The record is from RNAcentral.